This 468-nucleotide ribosomal RNA is filed under the name uncultured bacterium. Its description in RNAcentral is "partial 16S ribosomal RNA". It matches the Rfam family "Bacterial small subunit ribosomal RNA", at positions 28 to 507 of the family's 1533-position model. The record is from RNAcentral.
GACGAACGCUGGCGGCGUGCUUAACACAUGCAAGUCGAACGGAAAGGCCUUGCUUUUGUGGGGUGCUCGAGUGGCGAACGGGUGAGUAACACGUGAGUAACCUGCCCUUGACUUUGGGAUAACUUCAUGAAACUGGGGCUAAUACCGGAUAGGAGCUCCUGCUGCAUGGUGGGGGUUGGAAAGUUUCGGCGGUUGGGGAUUGACUCGCGGCUUAUCAGCUUGUUGGUGGGGUAGUGGCUUACCAAGGCUUUGACGGGUAGCCGGCCUGAGAGGGUGACCGGCCACAUUGGGACUGAGAUACGGCCCAGACUCCUACGGGAGGCAGCAGUGGGGAAUGUUGCACAAUGGGCGGAAGCCUGAUGCAGCAACGCCGCGUGCGGGAUGACGGCCUUCGGGUUGUAAACCGCUUUCGCCUGUGACGAAGCGUGAGUGACGGUAAUGGGUAAAGAAGCACCGGCUAACUACGUG